Molecule: long non-coding RNA, 221 nt
Filed under: Elaeis guineensis (African oil palm)
Lineage: Eukaryota; Viridiplantae; Streptophyta; Magnoliopsida; Arecales; Arecaceae
Description: long non-coding RNA (EGUI_LNC001303)
Source: RNAcentral
CAAAGAGGAAGAAAGCAAGCACGACCCCUACUCCCAAAUGUGGUCGAACUGAGGCCGUCCUUGCCCAGCCUGCAGCUGGGGCUUCCUCGAGGUCAAGCAAUGCUUUGAGGAAGGAAUCUUUGAUGCCGGCAAAGGCGAUGGUGCUGCUCCAAUCUGUCAUGCCGUGGGGCCUGCCCCCGACCUUCUGUCUCCUCAUCACAUCAGAGUUUGAGUGCCCCCCG